CUAGAUCUGGUGCGAUGGCUUAGGUUGUUGAUUUUGUGGAGGUUGAAAGUGGAAGAGGAAAAGGAAAAAGGUGAUGAUGUGGGGGAGAUUAAAGCGGAAGGAAUACAAGUGGUUUCGCCAACAAAAAUGGCGAUGGCGGCGACGGCGACAGCUUGGGCGUGAAACAGUGGGAAUGGAGAAAAUGUAUUGGUUUUUUUUUUCACAACAAAAUGUAUUGGGUUUUACUUUAAAGAAUAUAAUUAUUUUAUUAUUAUUUUAUCUUUAAUUAAAUAAUUUUGAUUAAUAAUUUUAAAAAUAAUUAUGACAUGGCAUUAAUAUAUCUGAUGUGGAUAUGCCAUG
This 339-nucleotide long non-coding RNA is filed under the name Solanum tuberosum (potato). Its description in RNAcentral is "long non-coding RNA (STUB_LNC005862)". Lineage: Eukaryota; Viridiplantae; Streptophyta; Magnoliopsida; Solanales; Solanaceae. The record is from RNAcentral.